UAUCGAACGGCGUAGCUACAGGCUUAACACAUGCAAGUCGAGGGGCAGCGACGAGUGUAGCAAUACAUGGGCGGCGACCGGCGCACGGGUGCGUAACGCGUAUCCAACCCUCCCGUUACUCAGGGAUAGCCUUCCGAAAGGGAGAUUAAUACCUGAUGGUGUUCAAAUUCCGCAUGUUAUUUGAACUAAAGAUUCAUCGGUAACGGAUGGGGAUGCGUGACAUUAGGUAGAUGGCGGGGUAACGGCCCACCAUGCCUUCGAUGUCUAGGGGUUCUGAGAGGAAGGUCCCCCACACUGGAACUGAGACACGGUCCAG
Molecule: ribosomal RNA, 316 nt
Filed under: uncultured bacterium
Lineage: Bacteria
Description: bacterial SSU rRNA
Rfam family: Bacterial small subunit ribosomal RNA
Source: RNAcentral